This 831-nucleotide ribosomal RNA is filed under the name uncultured crenarchaeote. RNAcentral's name for it is "bacterial SSU rRNA". It matches the Rfam family "Archaeal small subunit ribosomal RNA", at positions 21 to 859 of the family's 1478-position model. The record is from RNAcentral. Lineage: Archaea; Thermoproteati; Thermoproteota.
ACCUGACUGCUAUCGGAUUGAUACUAAGCCAUGCGAGUUUUUGUAGCAAUACAAGGCAGACGGCUCAGUAACACGUAGUCAAUCUAACCUAUGGACGAGGAUAACCUCGGGAAACUGAGAAUAAUACUCGAUAGAUCAUUAUGCCUGGAACGGUUUAUGGUUCAAAUGAAUUUCGCCAUAGGAUGGGACUGCGGUCUAUCAGCUUGUUGGUGAGGUAAUGGCCCACCAAGGCUAUUACAGAUACGGGCUCUGAGAGGAGAAGCCCGGAGAUGGGUACUGAGACACGGACCCAGGCCCUAUGGAGCGCAGCAGGCGAGAAAACUUUGCAAUGUGCGAAAGCACGACAAGGUCAAUCCGAGUGUUUCCUGCUAAAGGAAUCUUUUGUUAGUUGUAAAACCACUAUCGAAUAAGGGGUGGGCAAGUUCUGGUGUCAGCCGCCGCGGUAAAACCAGCACCUCAAGUGGUCAGGAGGAUUAUUGGGCCUAAAGCAUCCGUAGCCUGUUCUGUAAGUUUCCGGUUAAAUCCAUUAGCUCAACUAAUGGGCUGCCGAAAAUACUGCAGAACUAGGGAGUGGGAGAGGUAGACGGUACUCGGUAGGAAGGGGUAAAAUCCUUUGAUCUAUUGAUGACCACCUGUGGCGAAGGCGGUCUACCAGAACACGUUCGACGGUGAGGGAUGAAAGCUGGGGGAGCAAACCGGAUUAGAUACCCGGGUAGUCCCAGCUGUAAACGAUGCAGACUCGGUGAUGCGCUGGCUUGUGGCCAGUGCAGUGCCGCAGGGAAGCCGUUAAGUUUGCCGCCUGGGAAGUACGUACGCAAGUAUGAAACUUAA